UGCCAGCAGCCGCGGUAACACGAGUGGUGCGAGCGUUAAUCGGAAUUACUGGGCGUAAAGCGCGCGUAGGCGGUUAUUUAAGUCGGAUGUGAAAGCCCCGGGCUCAACCUGGGAAUUGCAUUCGAUACUGGGUGACCUGAGUACGAGAGAGGGAGGUAGAAUUCCACGUGUAGCGGUGAAAUGCGUAGAUAUGUGGAGGAAUACCAGUGGCGAAGGCGGCCUCCUGGCUCGAUACUGACGCUGAGGUGCGAAAGCGUGGGGAGCAAACAGGAUUAGAUA
This 279-nucleotide ribosomal RNA is filed under the name uncultured bacterium. Its description in RNAcentral is "partial 16S ribosomal RNA". It matches the Rfam family "Bacterial small subunit ribosomal RNA", at positions 506 to 784 of the family's 1533-position model. The record is from RNAcentral.